Molecule: long non-coding RNA, 6700 nt
Organism: Mercenaria mercenaria
Lineage: Eukaryota; Metazoa; Mollusca; Bivalvia; Venerida; Veneridae
Exons: 4
Source: RefSeq, a predicted model, not a curated record
AUUUUUAUUUACGUUACUAAAAUUCGCGAUAUAUUAUUUUCAUUUCUCAGUCGAUAGAUUGUUUAUGUAAUCCUUAUAAUGAUGUUCAAACUUAGAUAAUGCGAGUAUCUUAACAAGUUCGAACUAGUUUGAUAUAAAAAUGCAUAUAGCCCAGCACUGACAUUGUUACCUACGUUACGAAACGUUACUGAAUAUGUAUUUUAGUAAUUGAAAAAUACACGCUUGCAACCGCUUAUCUGUUUAACCAAAUAAAUUCACAGAAAUCAAAUAUGAGAAACAAUUAAGUUGCGGGGUUCUGUCACCUAAGUCAUCAUAAUCACUGUCUGUUUCGUAUAUGGUGUCAAUUAUAUUGGUCAUCACUACUUCUUUCAUAGUCAUCAUCAGAGUCACAUGUUGCUGAUGUGUCACAAAUAAUUUCAGCUAGUUCUUGAAGUACUAUAUUAUCGGAACACCAGUCAUAUUCCAACAAAUUUUCUGAUCCAGAUUUCUAUCCACUUUCAUCUACUUUUGGUAGAAUUGAUAGUUCGCACGGGUUAUGUGCAUUCUAAGUGACAAUUGGCACAGUGGAAAUAGACUCAUGUCCAUACCAUUAUAUGUACGCGGGACAUUACCAACACGUACUUGAUACUUUGCGAGAAACAUGUCAUAUAUAAGUUUGUUGAUGUUAUUGUAUUCUUCAGUCCAUAGAUUGCACAGACAAUAGUUUCGAUGCUGUUAAAGAGAUCAGUGUAUGAACUACUUCUGCUAAUGUUGCAACUUACACCUGGUUUUUCUCUACUAAUUUGAGUGGUGUUACUUUCCCUGUGCGAACAAAAGCACGGUUAUGUCAAUCAGUCAGAUGGUGUAUUGCAGGCAACAUUGAGCAGAUUCUUUCUCCUUUGCUUAUAAAGAUGUUGUGAGCAUUUAAAUAGCGUUUCUUAUUGCCUGGUCCAGUGUAAAAUAUAACAGUACUUUGUGUUUUUGAUUUGUUUGUUUGUUUUUGGGUUUAACGCCGUUUUUCAACAGUAUUUCAGUCAUGUAACGGCGGGCAGUUAACCUAACCAGUAUUCCUGGAUUCUGUACCAGUACAAACCUGUUCUCCGCAAGUAACUGCCAACUUCCCCACAUGAAUCAGAGGCGGAGGACUAAUGAUUUCAGACACAAUGUCGUUUAUCAAAUAGUCACGGAGAACAUACGCCCCGCCCGAGGAUCGAACUAGCGACCCCGAGAUCCGUAGACCAACGCUCUUACCUACUGAGCUAAGCGGGCUCUAACUUUGAUUGAGCUUGAAUUUUGUUCCCAUCUUCACUUGUGAGUAAAUAACACUUUUUACCAUUGACAAAAUACAGUUGUCUUCCCUUCAUCUUUGGUGCAUAGGAAUCAUAGUUUCAUUGUUCGAAAACUAGAUUGAUCACUGUGUUUCGUUUUCACUAUAUGACAUGAAUGCUUUUCAGUCACGAGGACUGUAAGUGUCAGUUACAAAAUCGACUCAAGCUGUCUUAGGUAGUUGACUGAACAGAGCUUCGGCUACGUCUUGGAAUGUUGCAGGGAUGGUUACUAAGCUGUGCAGCAGGGCGUCACUGUCAAUCAACAAAACAAUGUCAUCUCUUUGGACGGCUGCAGCCUCUACAUAGUGAAGUAGUUUUGACUUGUCUGUUUUCAUUGGCAGUAGCUAUAACGGCCAGGUGACAGGUCCUAGAGGAAAAGAAGGUGUCAGUUCUAGAUCUAUGUUGUGCCGAACAGCCAAAAGUACCAACUGUUCAUAUACGUUACGUUCUGCUCUUAUCUGUAAUAUUUUGUUUUGAGAAUUGGUUACUUUCCUUUUAACUUCAGCUGUGGAAAAUGUUAUAAGUAUUCUUCUGUUAAUGGGGUCUUGGAAAGGAACUGAUUUUUCAAUCAAUCUUAUUUUGAUAAUCCAUCCAUUGUCUUUACACCUAUUUCAGUUGCCUUAAGGUCAUGAGCGACUUCUGCUUUCGCAGGAAUACCAGACGACACAGUAAAUUUCAUCUUUGUUGUUUUUUUCAGCCUGGAAUGGGUUUGUGAAUGAUUCUAUGCCAUCAUAACCCUGUCAACUUCCUCUUCAAUCAUGCCUAUCUGAGCAGGUCAUACUUCUUUGUGGUUGGACAUGUCUUCUCUAUGUAUGUCUGCAUUCUGAAGUGUUGCUUCAACAUACUUUGCUCUGUAAUGACAAGUCAUGCGCCAGUGGAAAUAUGCAGCAUAGUUUCUACUGAAACCAAGUAUGCCAACCUCAGACUUUUCAUGUCUGUUAAUUGUCUGCUUUGUAGUAAUAUCUACAGAAUUUCUCAAUGCCGGUACAGAAGACCUAGAUACACUAAAAUCAUUACUUCGGAGUAGCUCUUCUGCACCUGGAUCAAUAUUUAUCAAUGUCAACAGGUAAAUGAGGCGGUAGCGAGAAAAACUUAUUGUGGUCAAAUGCGAAGAACAAAGAGCACAGUUUGUACAGAGAUGCUAUAUGUAAAUCAAGAGAAUUCAUUGAUGAGCAAAAAUAUCAUGUUAAUUAGGCCUAUAUGCAUUGACCAAAAUUGAGCAGUUUGGCCACUUUCACCCUUUCUGAUUUCUGAUUUGAACUGCUCAUGUCUGUUGAAAUACUCUUCAAAGUCAGGAGAGUUAUUAUUUCAAACACCUUUUCUUUGCAUGGACUUUCAGUCCGUUUCUGUAAUAUUAGUGUCUUCUGAAAUGCUUUCUUUACGGGGUUCUGUCUUUUCCGACUUGCAUAGAAGCAAACACUCAAGAGCUUCCAUUAAAGUCCUGUGUUCAUUUAGGGUAUGGUUAUAGCGUUUACCUGGUAAUACUUUAUCAAGUGAACCGCUAAAAUAAAUUCCUGAUUCUACAUUACAAGUUCUGCAAGACCAUUGCCCUUCAAUAAUUUUCCUACAGGCCCAAAUAUAAAGCAGAUUGUGUGAAAUCCAUCCAAAUCCAUCUCUACACUGCAGAACCAAAGAAUAUGCAUUCUUAGCAACAGCCGAGUCACAUGCCACUAUAGUAUAUUUCUGACCAACUUCAUUACUUGCAUCUACUGACGUUUUUAACAUAUGCUGGACUGUAGCAUUAUCAUUGAUUGAAUAAUUCGAAGGUGCCAUAUAUAUGAAGCAAGUUUGAGCACUCACUCUCUGCAAAUCAGCUCACAAAUAUGUAAUUUUUUUAUUUUUUUUAUUUGUCUAUUUAUUUUUUUCAUUUUAUUUCAUUUCAUUUUAUUUCAUUUUCAACUCAAUGAAAUCAGUUUCAUUUCACAUGAAAAAUGAUUUUUUGUCAAUCUUGAUGGUAAAUACAGUUUGAAGAAAAUUAUAUAUAAUUUAUCUAAUUAGUAAUUUUCGUUACCUAGAUUUAUAAUUUGUGAUAUAUUGAUGUUUUAAAAUAUAUAAUAAAUAUUUAUGAAAUUUGUACAUGUUACAUAUCUGUUUAAACAAAAUAUUUUACCACAUCCCAAAUAGUUUUCGACUUUUUAAAAAAAAAUUAUUAUUAUAAAUUUGAAACUCAUAUUGUCAACAUUAUAUGUGACGUCGUCUUUGAAAACCGGUCCAGAUGCGGCAUGACGUAAUAUCGAGAAACGACGUCUAAAGUUGCGCCAAGUUUACGCGCGCAGCUUUCUUACACAUGUUUUAAUUAGCAAAAGUUUGACCGUUAAAGUACGACUGCUUGUUACAUGACUGAUAACAGCCUACUAGAGAAAGAAUAUUUAGACAUCAGACCUGUAAAAAAAAAUAGUGGUAUUACGCCUGAGACAAAAUAUUUCAUUCAAAAUCAGUUGUUUCCCCUUCGCUACUGUAUGUUUCCGGUUUCGGAUUUUAUCAGGGAAGCAUGUGAAAUUUACUUUUGUUUAACUACCUUUUGUUCAACGAUGAAGGGAUCUGAGACUUGUAAUACUGUUUACUGAUUUGAUAAUAUUCGUUGUUCCUUUGAUGGUUCAUUCCACUACAGCUGGUUCAUAUACCCUACAACAGCCAGGAAAUUGGUCUGUUUACUUUAAGAUCUGAAGAAAAUGUAAUAUAUUUUGGAUGUGCUUUGAGGAAUCAGGAAGGCAAGUGUUUCUUCUUGUUUAUGAAAGCAACUCAAUUGGUUAAGGGGCAGACAACUUGUGAGCAUGGUACAUUACUAUCUGUAUUGGUAUUCCAUUUUGACAAUGCUGCUAGCUAGAAUAGAAAUAACAUCUUGCUGUGGUAUGGUCUGUGGAGAGCUUUACUAGGAAAUCACAGAUCGAUUGAAUAUUCAACAAUGAUCACAGACCAUGCAAAGUUUGAAUCUGACUUGCACUUUUGAAUUUAGAAGAAUCUGUGGAGGAGGGUGAAUGCUGAGACCUUUAAUAAUACAUGAUAUUGCUGACACAGUGUGUCAGUCAUCAAAGAAAGGUCAUAACAUUGCAGAGUUGGUCAACAAUGAUUUAAAUCCUGUCAUAUUCUACCAGUGGAGAAAUAUUUUAUCACAAUAUAAUAUCUUAUCACAAUAUUUUAAACUUUUGAAGAAGAUAACCAAGUAUUACCACUUUAUCAUGUCUGCAGAAACACCUGGAUUGUUAGUGUUAAAAGUGACAAUCGAAGUUGAGACAGUUAACUUACUAAAAUCUACUCCCUCUUGCCAAACGAGUAUUAUUGACAUGGAAUGACACAAGCCUGACAAUGGUACCUGUAUGAACUCAUAAGAGAAUAGUAUUUGUCUUAAAUGUCAAAUGAUUCUGUUUGUCCCAGACCACUUGAACUGAAAACUGAAAUUGUGAUUGACAAGGAUUUUUCUGAGAACUGAAAAAAGGAAGAGAAUGUAAAAGAUAGAAAUUGUUGUUGAAUUCAAACGUUUUAAUACACAACACUUUAGCCUGUUUUGCUGUUCAUAUAGAUGUGUUUAGCUGUUAAGGUUAAACAUCAAGUAAAGGUUGUAGUUUCAGUUACCUACAUUAAAGUAUUGGCUGGAAAUAAAUAUUUACUUUUCCCCAGAGCUUGUUGCAGUGUUACCUUCAUCAAAAGUUAUGCUAUUGUGUUAAUUAUUAAAGUAUUUUUAGAAAAAGGAAUUUAGUAUGUAUGUUGCCAUGGUAACAUAAUUCAAAUUAUAUUUCAUUGAAAUUAAGGAUUUGUAUUUCAAUAAGGGAUCUACAGUAUAUAAUGUAAUGGUAAAAGAAUGUUCACUUUCUUCAGUAUUGUCAGUUAUAACUAGCCAGAGAAAAAAACAGAUUAUGAGGAAAGGGAUGACUGAAAUGUUUAUUCUUACGAUAACUACUUUUGUUACUGUUUUGUUUUGUUAUUUUAAAGUUUUUAUGUGAAAUUUUCAGAUUUCUUUCCUGAAUACUUAUACUUUCAAAUAUUCAACUUAUUAGAAAUACUUUUUUAGAAUAAGCUCUUGUUUUUAAGAAUUAUUGUAGGAAAAGGGAAUUUAAAACAUAUGUCGUCAUGGUAACACAAUUGUCUUAGAAAAUAUGGAAAAUUUUUAAUUAGAUAUACUUUCUAGUAUUCUACUUUAAAAUAAGCAUAAACAAUAAAAAAAUCAAUAGUAAUAUAUGUUUCAUUUAUUUCAAAAUAGUCAUUUAUUACCGGCAGGUAAAAGGCAAGUUAUGAAGAAACAAUGACAGAAAUGUCUUAUUCUUAUAGUUAUUACUCAUGUUACAAACGCUGUCAUAAAACAAAACAUUUUAAUUUUUUUAACAUGGAAUUUUGAGAUAAUAUUUUUGAAUACAUACCACUUUAUAAUAUUCAAGUUAUCUGAAACACUUUUCCAAAUUUAGCUCUUUUUUAAAAUAUUAUUAUAGAAAAUAGAAUCGAAUGCAUAUGUUGCCAUGGUAACAUAAUUUAAUAAUGUUUUUAUAGAAAAUGUGAAGGACUUUAGCCAGCUAGAUGUUUGCACUUUAAGCGAAUAUCUAAAUAUUCUUUCUAAAAGAAGAUUCAUUUAUUUAAAAAUAGCCAGUGAUUACCAAUAAGUGAAAACACAAACUGAAGAAACAACGACUGAAAUAGUUUAUUCUUGUGGUUAUUACCAGUGUUACGAAAUCUGUCAUAAAACCAAACAUUUUAUAUCUUUUCACAUAAAAUUUUCUAAUUUUACUUUCGAAUACAUAUACUUCGAAAUUUCAACUUAUAAGAAACAUUAUUUCAAAUGAAGCUUUUGUUUUUAAGUUCUAUUGUAGAAAAAGGAAUUUAAUGCAUAUGUUGCCAUGGUAACACAAUUUGAAUAAUGUUUUCAUAGAAAAUAUGAAAGAUUUUAAUUAGCUGUAUUUUUCUGUUUUAAGUAAGCAUCACAAGAAUAAAAUUUCAUAAUAAUAAAAGGUUCUUUUUUUCCAAAAUAGUCAUUUAUUACCAGCAUCUAAAAGACAAGUACUGAAGAAACAAUGACAAAUCUAACUUAUUCUUAUGGUUAUUACCCAUGUUACAAAAACUUGUCAUAAAACCAAACAUUCUUAAUAUUUUCAUGUGAAAUUUUCAGAAUAUUUUUAUAAAUACAUUAUGCCUUCUAAUAUUUUACUUUUUAAAGUCCUUACUUUAAGUGAACAAGUUUUUUUAAAGUUUUAUCAUAGAAAAGGGAAUUUAAUAUAUUUGUUGCCAUGGUAACACAAUUUGAGAAAUAUUUUUAUAGAAAUUGUUGUAGAUUUUAGUUGAUUAUCAUUUUGUGUAAUAAGAAGGGAUCUUAUAUAUAUAUCAUGCAAUUGUAACAGAAGAUAAAUUUAUUUCAGAAUUGUUAGCCAUUACCAGUAGGUGAGAAAUAAACUAGAAAGAAAGAAUAA